CAGUAGCCGCGGUAAUACGUAGGGUGCAAGCGUUGUCCGGAAUUAUUGGGCGUAAAGAGCGUGUAGGCGGCUCGACAAGUCCGCUGUGAAAGUCCAGGGCUCAACCCUGGAAUGCCGGUGGAUACUGUCGAGCUAGAGUCCGGAAGGGGCGAGUGGAACUCCUGGUGUAGCGGUGAAAUGCGCAGAUAUCAGGAAGAACACCAAUGGCGAAGGCAGCUCGCUGGGACGUGACUGACGCUGAGACGCGAAAGCGUGGGGAGCGAACAGGAUUAGAUACCCCAGUAGUCCCUGUCUCUUAUAC
This 301-nucleotide ribosomal RNA is filed under the name uncultured bacterium. RNAcentral describes it as "partial 16S ribosomal RNA". It matches the Rfam family "Bacterial small subunit ribosomal RNA", at positions 509 to 807 of the family's 1533-position model. The record is from RNAcentral.